RNAcentral lists this ribosomal RNA (563 nucleotides) under uncultured bacterium. Its description in RNAcentral is "bacterial SSU rRNA". It matches the Rfam family "Bacterial small subunit ribosomal RNA", at positions 46 to 642 of the family's 1533-position model. The record is from RNAcentral.
GCCUAACACAUGCAAGUCGAACGCUCCAGGGGCAACCUUGGAGAGUGGCGGACGGGUGAGUAAGACGUGGGUUAUCUACCUUUCGGUGAGGAAUACCGGCGAGAAAUCGCCGACAAAACCGCAUGAGUUCGGGAAACCGAAGAAAGUCGAAAGACGCCGGAAGAUGAGCCUGCGGCCGAUUAGCUAGCUGGUGGGGUAAAAGCUCACCAGGGCGACGAUCGGUAGCUGGUCCGAGAGGACGAUCAGCCACACUGGGAUUGAGAACGGCCCAGACUCCUACGGGGGGCAGCAGUGAGGAAUUUUCGUCAAUGGGGGAAACCCUGAACGAGCAACGCCGCGUGCCGGAAGAAGGUUUUCGGAUCGUAAACGGCUUUUCUGUGGGAAGAGUUUGGACGGUACCACAGGAACAAGCCCCGGCUAACUACGUGCCAGCAGCCGCGGUAAGACGUAGGGGGCGAGCGUUGUCCGGAGUUACUGGGCGUAAAGGGCGUGCAGGCGGUUGGGCAAGUUUGGGGUGACAGUGCUCGGCUUAACUGAGCAAGUGCCUCGAAAACUGUGCAACU